CAGCAGUGGGGAAUUUUGGACAAUGGGGGAAACCCUGAUCCAGCCAUCCCGCGUGUGCGAUGAAGGCCUUCGGGUUGUAAAGCACUUUUGGCAGGAAAGAAACGUCAUGGGUUAAUACCCCGUGAAACUGACGGUACCUGCAGAAUAAGCACCGGCUAACUACGUGCCAGCAGCCGCGGUAAUACGUAGGGUGCAAGCGUUAAUCGGAAUUACUGGGCGUAAAGCGUGCGCAGGCGGUUCGGAAAGAAAGAUGUGAAAUCCCAGAGCUUAACUUUGGAACUGCAUUUUUAACUACCGAGCUAGAGUGUGUCAGAGGGAGGUGGAAUUCCGCGUGUAGCAGUGAAAUGCGUAGAUAUGCGGAGGAACACCGAUGGCGAAGGCAGCCUCCUGGGAUAACACUGACGCUCAUGCACGAAAGCGUGGGGAGCAAACAGGAUUAGAUACCCUGGUAGUCCACGCCCUAAACGAUGUCAACUAGCUGUUGGGGCCUUCGGGCCUUGGUAGCGCAGCUAACGCGUGAAGUUGACCGCCUGGGGAGUACGGUCGCAAGAUUAAAACUCAAAGGAAUUGACGG
RNAcentral lists this ribosomal RNA (574 nucleotides) under uncultured marine bacterium. Its description in RNAcentral is "bacterial SSU rRNA". It matches the Rfam family "Bacterial small subunit ribosomal RNA", at positions 349 to 916 of the family's 1533-position model. The record is from RNAcentral.